GAUAGGGAGUUAUGGAACUCCAUAUGGAGCGGUGGAAUGCGUAGAUAUAUGGAAGAACACCUGUGGCGAAAGCGAGAACUUAGGUCACAACUGACGCUUAGGCUCGAAAAGUGUGGGGAGCAAAUAGGAUUAGAUACCCUAGUAGUCCACACCGUAAACGAUGGUUAUUAGUUGUUGGUACGAAGUACUAGUAACGAAGCUAACGCAUUAAAUAACCCGCCUGGGGAGUACAUUUGCAAGAAUGAAACUCAAACGGAAUUGACGGGGACCCGCACAAGCGGUGGAGCAUGUUGUUUAAUUCCACAGUACACCAAGAACCUUACCAGGGUUUGACAUCCUC
Molecule: ribosomal RNA, 340 nt
Filed under: uncultured bacterium
Lineage: Bacteria
Description: bacterial SSU rRNA
Rfam family: Bacterial small subunit ribosomal RNA
Source: RNAcentral